This 494-nucleotide ribosomal RNA is filed under the name Thalassiosira rotula. Its description in RNAcentral is "partial Bacterial large subunit ribosomal RNA". It matches the Rfam family "Bacterial large subunit ribosomal RNA", at positions 2434 to 2925 of the family's 2925-position model. Lineage: Eukaryota; Bacillariophyta; Thalassiosirophyceae; Thalassiosirales; Thalassiosiraceae. The record is from RNAcentral.
UGGAAGGGCCAUCGCUCAACGGAUAAAAGGUACUCCGGGGAUAACAGGCUGAUACCGCCCAAGAGUUCAUAUCGACGGCGGUGUUUGGCACCUCGAUGUCGGCUCAUCACAUCCUGGGGCUGAAGUCGGUCCCAAGGGUAUGGCUGUUCGCCAUUUAAAGUGGUACGCGAGCUGGGUUUAGAACGUCGUGAGACAGUUCGGUCCCUAUCUGCCGUGGACGUUGGAGAUUUGAGGAAAGCUGCUCCUAGUACGAGAGGACCGGAGUGGACGAACCUCUGGUGUUCGGGUUGUGACGCCAGUCGCAUUGCCCGGUAGCUAUGUUCGGACAGGAUAACCGCUGAAAGCAUCUAAGCGGGAAGCCCCUUCCAAGAUGAGAUCUCCCUGGACCCUCGAGGUCCCUGAAGAGCCGUUCAAGACCAGGACGUUGAUAGGUCGGGUGUGUAAGCGCUGCGAGGCGUUGAGCUAACCGAUACUAAUUGCUCGUGCGGCUUGAC